RNAcentral lists this ribosomal RNA (325 nucleotides) under uncultured Actinomycetes bacterium. RNAcentral's name for it is "bacterial SSU rRNA". It matches the Rfam family "Bacterial small subunit ribosomal RNA", at positions 163 to 505 of the family's 1533-position model. The record is from RNAcentral. Lineage: Bacteria; Bacillati; Actinomycetota; Actinomycetes.
UUAAUACCGGACAUUCUCCAUCUUCCGCAUGGUUGGUGGUGGAAAGUUUUUCGGCCAGGGAGGGGCUCGCGGCCUAUCAGCUUGUUGGCGGGGUAACGGCCCACCAAGGCGACGACGGGUAGCCGGCCUGAGAGGGCGACCGGCCACACUGGGACUGAGACACGGCCCAGACUCCUACGGGAGGCAGCAGUGGGGAAUAUUGCGCAAUGGGCGAAAGCCUGACGCAGCGACGCCGCGUGGGGGGAUGAAGGCCUUCGGGUUGUAAACCCYUUUCACCAGGAGCGAAAACAGACGGUACCUGGGGAAGAAGCGCCGGCUAACUACG